RNAcentral lists this ribosomal RNA (170 nucleotides) under Nectamia savayensis (Samoan cardinalfish). Its description in RNAcentral is "partial 12S rRNA". The record is from RNAcentral. Lineage: Eukaryota; Metazoa; Chordata; Actinopteri; Kurtiformes; Apogonidae.
CACCGCGGUUAUACGAGAGGCCCAAGCUGACAGCUACCGGCGUAAAGAGUGGUUAAUUCACCCCCACAAACUAAAGCCGAACAUCUCCAAAGUUGUAAAACGCACUCGAAGGUAUGAAGAUCACCCACGAAAGUGGCUUUAUAACCCUUGAACCCACGAAAACUAGGGAA